UCAGGACACCAUGGUGAUUGUGUGGU
Molecule: non-coding RNA, 26 nt
Filed under: Homo sapiens (human)
Lineage: Eukaryota; Metazoa; Chordata; Mammalia; Primates; Hominidae
Source: RNAcentral